CCUGGAUGCUUGCAUCCAGGGGUUGUAGGACUGAUGUUGAGUUACAAAGGUAUAAGAUAGCAGAAACAGUUGGGAAGCUGUUCCAAAGAGGGUGACAGGCCCGUAUGCGAAAUCUUGUACUCUCUAAUCAGGAUCCUGAGUACGGCCCAGCACGUGAAAUUGGGUCGGAAUCUGGGAGGACCAUCUCCCAAGGCUAAAUACUAACUAGUGACCGAUAGCGAACAAGUACCGUGAGGGAAAGGUGAAA
Molecule: ribosomal RNA, 247 nt
Filed under: Oenococcus oeni
Lineage: Bacteria; Bacillati; Bacillota; Bacilli; Lactobacillales; Lactobacillaceae
Description: partial 23S ribosomal RNA
Rfam family: Bacterial large subunit ribosomal RNA
Source: RNAcentral